RNAcentral lists this small RNA (28 nucleotides) under Bombyx mori (domestic silkworm). RNAcentral's name for it is "ovarian small RNA-36628". Lineage: Eukaryota; Metazoa; Arthropoda; Insecta; Lepidoptera; Bombycidae. The record is from RNAcentral.
UUACUCAAUAGUUCUCCUAGAUAUGUGC